CACCACUCGCCUCCUCUGCCGCACCUAGCCCUUCUCUGUCGGACCUCGCAGCCGCCGACCUCUGGUCCACCGUCACCAUCUGGACCCCUCCCCACACCCCGCCAGCACGCCGCCAGACGCCCUCCUCGCCCACGCGCGGCGGCCUCUCUGAUCCCACGGCUGCGCUCGCCCCUGUCCUCGCCGGCGUCGCAGCCUCAGGACAGAUUAUUGAAGCUCUUAUGAAGUGGCGAUUGACUAGAACCAGGGGCAAGCUGAGGAUUUGUUUGCUUAAACAAUAGAGAUUGCUUGGAUUAAGUGGGGGUUAAGAUGUUCUUGUUGUCUAUAUCUGAAAUGAAAAACCUGAUGAAGAUCCUUCCGAGGCGUCAGAUGUGCCUCUUCUCGCACUGAACAGGGCCAUCAACAGAGCAAUCAAACAAGCGACACUGCAGUAGGAAAAACAAUGAUACAUGGCAAUCUCCCAGUGUGCGCGCCCAGUAUAAUGUAAACAUGGUAGUAGCUUCUUGUUCUUCAGAAAGUAAAUGUAAACAUCUGUUGUAAGAUUCCAGUACAGGUAAAGGCAACAGCUGCUAGCUGCUCUACCACGGGUGCAAAAACAAGCUUAAUCCUUUGCCGAAAACAAUUGUACCAAGCACUAAGGCAGGGGUGAAGCCAGUAGUCAAUGGGUCAUCUCCAUACUCCAGGGAGCUGCUAUCGUCGUGUUAAAGUCUCGUACCCUUGGGUGCCACUUGUUUUAUUUUGUUGAAAUGGCGGUGUCACUUGUUAGGCAGUCAAGUAAAGUGACGGGCAAUGCAGAAAGUCCCACGUUGAAAUUUGAUGCGGCGAGACCCGUCCUUUGUCAUGUACGUACCGGAGGAACGGCAUCGUGAUUGGUCCUGAUUGGAAAGCUUGUCAUGUACGUACCCUGACCACUCCGCUCCCCAGCGUGACGAUGCUAACAACGGUCUGGGUAGAUCCCCGAUUUUUUUUGUUUUUUUUUGUUUUUGCAAAAUAAUUCUUGCAUUACUCAAAUCGAAAGUUA
Molecule: long non-coding RNA, 1018 nt
Organism: Triticum dicoccoides
Lineage: Eukaryota; Viridiplantae; Streptophyta; Magnoliopsida; Poales; Poaceae
Exons: 5
Source: RefSeq, a predicted model, not a curated record